GUCGAUGCUGAAUCCGACUUCUCCCUUUCUACAUUGCCUGAGAGAAGUCUUGGGGAAUACUCUGUACACGAAUUUUCACUGUUGGGGAAAACGGAGAGUCAAGGGAUUGGAUUGUGGAUUGCAUUGGUGGUUUUCCUCAGUUUCCUCAUCUUCUCCCCAAGUUUCUACAUAUUGAAUGCAGAGCAGCCCUUCUUCAAAGGACCUCCUACUGAACCUGCUAAGGAACUCAGUCUGUAGCUCUGCGUGGAGCCAUGUGUAAACACUGAACUGAGGCCUGCCACCUCCUACUACCUAAGGGCCCCUUUUCAUCUGAGAUCAUCCCCCAGAAACAAACUCAUGCUGACUUUCAUGUUUUUUUAGAUUACAUACAUGGAGAAUUUUCCUUUCCCUUAGAAUUAAAAUCCUGCAUUCUAAUUUUC
RNAcentral lists this long non-coding RNA (419 nucleotides) under Pongo abelii (Sumatran orangutan). RNAcentral describes it as "lincRNA". The record is from RNAcentral. Lineage: Eukaryota; Metazoa; Chordata; Mammalia; Primates; Hominidae.